GCUGUAAGUUUUCGAUGAAAUCUUUAGUACUCUGUAUGCCAAAUUGAAUGGCGGGACAAAGGGUCGCGAUCUCGCGAGGGUGAGCUAACUCCAAAAACCCGUCCUCAGUUCGGAUUGCAGGCUGCAACUCGCCUGCAUGAAGCAGGAAUCGCUAGUAAUCGCCGGUCAGCCAUACGGCGGUGAAU
Molecule: ribosomal RNA, 185 nt
Filed under: Triticum aestivum (bread wheat)
Lineage: Eukaryota; Viridiplantae; Streptophyta; Magnoliopsida; Poales; Poaceae
Also listed under: 1 other name
Description: rRNA SSU_rRNA_eukarya
Rfam family: Bacterial small subunit ribosomal RNA
Source: RNAcentral